UAGGGAAUCUUCCGCAAUGGGCGAAAGCCUGACGGAGCAACGCCGCGUGAGUGAUGAAGGUCUUCGGAUCGUAAAACUCUGUUAUUAGGGAAGAACAAAUGUGUAAGUAACUAUGCACGUCUUGACGGUACCUAAUCAGAAAGCCACGGCUAACUACGUGCCAGCAGCCGCGGUAAUACGUAGGUGGCAAGCGUUAUCCGGAAUUAUUGGGCGUAAAGCGCGCGUAGGCGGUUUUUUAAGUCUGAUGUGAAAGCCCACGGCUCAACCGUGGAGGGUCAUUGGAAACUGGAAAACUUGAGUGCAGAAGAGGAAAGCGGAAUUCCAUGUGUAGCAGUGAAAUGCGCAGAGAUAUGGAGGAACACCAGUGGCGAAGGCGACUUUCUGGUCUGUAACUGACGCUGAUGUGCGAAAGCGUGGGGAUCAAACAGG
RNAcentral lists this ribosomal RNA (429 nucleotides) under Actinomycetes bacterium. RNAcentral's name for it is "Actinobacteria bacterium partial 16S ribosomal RNA". It matches the Rfam family "Bacterial small subunit ribosomal RNA", at positions 355 to 776 of the family's 1533-position model. Lineage: Bacteria; Bacillati; Actinomycetota; Actinomycetes. The record is from RNAcentral.